This is a long non-coding RNA of Ochlerotatus camptorhynchus, 762 nucleotides long. RefSeq lists it as uncharacterized. Lineage: Eukaryota; Metazoa; Arthropoda; Insecta; Diptera; Culicidae. The record is from RefSeq and is a predicted model, not a curated record. The transcript is spliced from 2 exons.
CCCAAUCAUUUUCAAACUCUUUUUCCUAUAGUGUCAUUAAAGUUGAGAGAAUUCACCAAUAAAGUAAUGAAGCAUAGAGGUUCUUAAGUUUGUUGAUUCUAGUACUACAAUACUGAAACCGUUUCGUCUUCGGUAAGUAUCCAGCUGAAUUAGUUUGAUCGAUUUUGUUUUCCUGUUGAGUUCAAAUAAAUACCCUUUAUUUCAAAUCCGAAAUUGGCGUUUCAGUUCAUAUUUUUUUCCGUUGCCCUCUGUCAAGCCACUAACGCUCGACUUUCUUUCAGUUUCUUCCUCGGAUCAACCGGCUGCGGAGUUACCAAUCCAGCCACUUCCAACCAGCAAGAAGCCUGUUAGAAAGCCACGGCGCAAACCGGAAAACGCCAUCAACGUAGAGGAGAUUCUGAGCCGGGGCGGGGGAACACCGGUCGUCUACCAGAAUACACGUUUCGGAGCGGCUCAGGUGCUAAUGGACGAUAUCGUUUUCGCGUUCACGUGCACUAAACUGCGAGUAAGCCAUUACCGGUGCAGCCAGUUCAAGCAACACAAAUGUCCCGCCCAGGUGAUCGUCAAGGAGGGUCUGAUUUAUUACGCUUGCAGGGACCAUAACCACGACAAAGCCACCGGGCAGCCGCUGGAUGACCUCUGCGGCGUUUACCAAGCCAGGGGUGCCAAAUUACGAGGAGAUCCGUAGUGUUUUACAGUUAUUGUAGUACUAGAUUAUCAUGAAAAAUAUAUAUGCAGAUAAUUAAAAUUUAUUACUUGAUU